ACGGGGUAUCCACGCCACCCCCAGCCCUCCCCGUGCCUCCGCCAGCAGAGCACAAAGAGGGCCCCGAGCCCACCGGCUGGGCUCGGCUCAUCCUGGCAGGCGGUGGGCAGAGCCAGGGGCGUAGCAGCCGCCGCCGUCAGCUCUGCCCGAGGCCGGGGACACCCUUCUGGCCUGGCCCCCGCAGAGACAACCUCAUCCCCACGCCUGGCCCUCCCUCCGCCACAGCAUCCCUCGCCCAGGCGGCCCCGCUGCCUGGCCAUCUUUGCUCCUUCCUCCCUCGCCCCGUGCCCUCCCCACAUCUCCAUCUUUUCCCCACCUCAGCCGGUUUUUGCCGGGGGAAUUGCCGCCCCAGCCGCCCCCCCAGCCCUUCCCCGCCAUGGUUGCCGAUCCCUCCGGUGGCGCCGGGGGGACGUGGGGGUCCCCGGGAUACUCACGCUGCCCGGGGGACAAAGCAGAGCUGGGCUCCCCGCCGCCACGAGGCCUGGGUGGCCAGGCAGGGGUCCUCGGGUGGCCACCAAGUUGGGCAAGUGGCUCCUGCAGCCGCAGCCAAGGCUGCUGCUGAGCCUGGCAAUCGGAGCAGGUCUUUCCCCACCUCCUUCCUCCCCUCCUCCUCCUCGUCCUCCCUUGUCUCUCUCUUUCUCUGUCUCUCGUUUUUUUUUUUUUUUUCCCUUUUUUUUUUUUUUUUUCCUUGAGGGCCAGAUACUGACGUUUCGGUGUCUCUUAGCAACUGCCUCCACAUCUCUGAGCAACAGGAGAGCGGGAUGUGGAGCCGCCAGAGCGAUGGAGACAGUGGAGGAGAGCAAUGCCCCCGCUCCGGGGACACCCCACCCGGGGGGGGGACGGAGCGGGAUGAGGGGCAGCGGGUGGCACCCCGCCACCCACGGGGGGCUCGGCUGCUCCCCAGCCCUCCGGCUGCCCUCAGCGCACCCCCCGGCCCCAGGGAGCACCCCCGUGGGAUGGGGUGAAGCAGGGUUUGCCGGGCUCUGCAAACAGAAACCAAAUACGUGUCAGCAGGAGGGGAAAGCGAGGUGCUCCAGAGCUAAGCCGGGAGCGACUGCACCCAGCUGA
RNAcentral lists this long non-coding RNA (1068 nucleotides) under Anas platyrhynchos platyrhynchos (common mallard). RNAcentral's name for it is "lncRNA (ENSAPLG00000028434.1)". Lineage: Eukaryota; Metazoa; Chordata; Aves; Anseriformes; Anatidae. The record is from RNAcentral.